CCUGACGCAGCGACGCCGCGUGGAGGAAGAAGGCCCUUGGGUUGUAAACUCCUUUUGCCAGGGAAGAGUAAGGACGGUACCUGGCGAAAAAGCCCCGGCUAACUACGUGCCAGCAGCCGCGGUAAGACGUAGGGGGCGAGCGUUACCCGGAUUUAUUGGGCGUAAAGAGCGCGCAGGCGGUCUGGUACGUCCCUGGUGCAAGCUCCUGGCUUAACUAGGAGAGGUCCAGGGAUACGGCCCGGCUAGAGGGCAGUAGAGGCGAGUGGAAUUCCUGGUGUAGCGGUGAUAUGCGCAGAUAUCAGGAGGAACACCUGAGGCGAAAGCGACUCGCUGGGCUGUCCCUGACGCUGAGGCGCGAGAGCGUGGGGAGCGAACCGGAUUAGAUACCCGGGUAGUCCACGCCCUAAACGAUGGAUGCUAGGUAUGGGGGGUAUCGACCCCUUCCGUGCCGCAGCUUACGCAAUAAGCAUCCCGCCUGGGGAGUACGGCCGCAAGGCUAAAACUCAAAGGAAUUGACGG
This 519-nucleotide ribosomal RNA is filed under the name uncultured bacterium. RNAcentral's name for it is "bacterial SSU rRNA". It matches the Rfam family "Bacterial small subunit ribosomal RNA", at positions 382 to 916 of the family's 1533-position model. The record is from RNAcentral.